CAGCAGUCGCCGCGGUAAUACGGAGGGUGCAAGCGUUAAUCGGAAUUACUGGGCGUAAAGCGUGCGUAGGCGGUUCGUUAAGUCUGUUGUGAAAGCCCCGGGCUCAACCUGGGAAUGGCAAUGGAUACUGGCGAGCUAGAGUGUGUCAGAGGAUGGUGGAAUUCCCGGUGUAGCGGUGAAAUGCGUAGAGAUCGGGAGGAACAUCAGUGGCGAAGGCGGCCAUCUGGGACAACACUGACGCUGAGGCACGAAAGCGUGGGGAGCAAACAGGAUUAGAUACCCGGGUAGUCCCUGUCUCUUAUAC
This 304-nucleotide ribosomal RNA is filed under the name uncultured bacterium. RNAcentral's name for it is "partial 16S ribosomal RNA". It matches the Rfam family "Bacterial small subunit ribosomal RNA", at positions 509 to 807 of the family's 1533-position model. The record is from RNAcentral.